CGCUCAUCUAUACUCUGCAUAGUAUCUGGCCAGCUGUCACAAUAUACACACCGCGUGUUUAAGAAUCGCUUAUAUUUUUACUUAUAUUUAGACAACAGCAGUCCAGAGGGAAAUUAAUAAUUGUUUACCCUUUUACAGAUGCAGUUUAACAAGCAUACCAGGUGACAAUAAAGACGGCAACGUCCAACACACGUGUAAUUGAGGUUGAACGAUCCGAUGUCUUUACAUUAAUUACUGUGGGUAAAUCCGCUCAAUAUUCACAAGGAAGAGCAUAUUAUUAUUCUUAGAUCGUAUCACAGGUAUUAAUGUAUCGAAUAAUGUAUCAAAUAGGUACUAAUGUAUUCAUAACCUAUACUUGUACCAGAAAAGGAACAUGCUAACACCAUUUCAAUUAAUAGACAGAAACUAUGUAAUACAUUUUAUCAGAUUGUCGUUCCCUGUUUAUAGGCUAAGAAGACUUCCGUUAUUAUAUUAAGAAUUGAGCUACUACCACAGCGUAUACGAUAUAUCUCGUACUUGCAUAUAUAAGAUCGAGAUCAUCCAAUCUGCAUAUGUAAUUAUCAAUAAAAGAGAUAUUAUAUCCGUGGGGUUAUACUCUCAGUAAUACAGAGCAACUGCUCGCAGCUCAUCUGCCGUGACAGAAGGAUGUCACGGUAAUUCACCUGUCUUACAUCUGUCGCAAUCAUUCAAUGGAACAGUGGCAACCAUAUACCGAUUACGUGGUAUUAUACUCCUGAGGCAAUACACUCAACAGAUUCUGUGCACCUGCUCGCAGUACAUCAGCCUUGACAAAAUGAAUUGCAGAGAAUUACAUCAAAGCGCUCAUGCAAUGGGACAGCAAAACAAACAUUAUCUACACAAUAUUUAACACCAUACGAAGUGUCAAUGUGAUUUAUAUUUUAAAGAUUCAAUCUCUGCGCUUAAUUACUAUAAUUACAUAAUAUUUAACACUAUAUGAAGUGUCCAUGUGAUUUUAUAUCGUAAAGAUUCAAUCUCCGCACUUAAUUACUAUAAUUAUAUAUUAAUAACAUCAAUAUCAAUAUUUAUUCACACGCGAUUCUAUUUUAAGUAUUAUUGUCCGGUAAGUUGAUAGAUACAACUGUUCAAGGCAAAUGUAUAUGCGCCUUCAUGAAUUAUAUUAUGAAAACCGAAAAAGCAGCAAUCUACCAUACUAUAAUAUUCAAGUAACAUCUGUUUAAUUAAUACUAUUUAUAAUUCCUAUUAGUUAAUGUUAUUAUUAAGUAAUAUUGUGUUCAAUAUUAUGUUCAACAUUAUGUUUGGAUUGCAAAAGUUAAUUAACAAAUAAUAUUUUACAAAACCGUUGUAUCCGGGUUAGCAUUAUUACUUUAGAAGUGUAGUAAUACAAAAGUUUGUAUCCACGCAGCACUUAAUUCAUGAAUAAUUAGUUGUUGUCUAUUUGUUUAUUUAUUUGAUAGUGUUGUGUGUUCAUUGUACUGCUAUUCUAUAAUUCAUACAAUCAGCAUUAAAAAUAAAAUAUAUGCUUCAUUACUAUUAUCAGAAAAAUCCGACCGCAGUUCAAUAAUGCUUAAUUCUUUGUUACAAGGAUCUAAUAGAUCUGAGGUGCGUCAAUGAAUUAAUGUCGCGCUCAUUAGCAGUUAUAUUGUCCAAUCAAAGAUUAAAUUAUUAUCAUUAAAUAAUUAAUUAAAAACAUCUAUUAUAAAUAAGCUACUAAAGAGGGCAUAAGUAUGUAGGUCAUACAGGAGGAGCUUACUUUCCUCCUGUUACCAAAAUGUUGUUGUAAGUUAUAUAAAUUUAUAAUUGCCUUUAUAGCACAAUAGUUUGUUAAUUCUUAGAAUAACACUAUGCUAAUUUAAGUAAUGUACUAUUUACCUCCUAUAUAUUGUGUACUUGUGUUCUUUUCAAAUCAAAUAGGAACUAACUAGUCGUAUAUCA
This 1914-nucleotide long non-coding RNA is filed under the name Camponotus floridanus (Florida carpenter ant). Its description in RNAcentral is "uncharacterized LOC105256523, transcript variant X2". The record is from RNAcentral. Lineage: Eukaryota; Metazoa; Arthropoda; Insecta; Hymenoptera; Formicidae.